This 254-nucleotide ribosomal RNA is filed under the name uncultured bacterium. Its description in RNAcentral is "partial 16S ribosomal RNA". It matches the Rfam family "Bacterial small subunit ribosomal RNA", at positions 524 to 777 of the family's 1533-position model. The record is from RNAcentral.
UACGUAGGGUGCGAGCGUUAAUCGGAAUUACUGGGCGUAAAGCGUGCGCAGGCGGUGAGCUGUGUCCGAUGUGAAAGCCCCGGGCUUAACCUGGGAAUGGCAUUGGAAACUGGCUCGCUGGAGUGUGGCAGAGGGGGGUGGAAUUCCGCGUGUAGCAGUGAAAUGCGUAGAGAUCGGGAGGAACACCAGUGGCGAAGGCGGCUACCUGGACCAGCACUGACACUGAGGCACGAAAGCGUGGGGAGCAAACAGGG